Acanthosepion pharaonis is the source of this 110-nucleotide non-coding RNA. The record is from the annotation of a GenBank genome assembly. NCBI's taxonomy places the organism in Eukaryota, Metazoa, Mollusca, Cephalopoda, Sepiida, Sepiidae.
CAGCCACAUCAUAUUGAAACACUGGUUUCCAUAAGAUCAUUGAAGUUAAGCAAUGUUGAGCAAAGUCUGUAUCUAGAUGAGUGAUCACAUGGAAAUACCAUGUGCUGUAA